UGAGGCUAGUGCUGUGCUGGAAGCGAAGAUCUCGGGCCUGCAGACAGAACUGUCUUUUCUUUUUCUACCACAGAAAAAGGAGUGUAAUUCUCAGCAGUGUCAUCAUGUCCACAGGAACAAUGCUGGUUUAGUAUAUGCCUGGUCGCCUUCAUCUGUAACAUCUGCAUCAUCUCCAACAUGAAGAUGCUGACGGUGUGUUUGCUGCUGACUGCCAUGCUGGUUCAAACUCAAACUACUCCUCUUCCAGAUACGACGCUACCUCCAUUAAUUACUGAAGAUUUGUCCUCAGGUCAUCAUUUCUAUGAUGACUGGCAUCUAACUUGCCCUGAUGGAUGGACUUCGUUCUAUCACCGCUGUCUCCGCUACGUUCCAACAAAAAUGACUUGGGCUGAAGCUGCGAGAAACUGUGAGACCCUGGGGGGAAGCCUUGCAAUUGUUGCUGAAUAUUUGCAUGGUGACGACAUUCGCGAGGUGAUGUGGCACAGUGGACACACGCGUGGAAAAGUGUGGAUUGGAGAACACCACAGCCCAGAGCAUUACUCUUCCUGGGGCGAUUAUUUUGGUUGGCUUCCAGACUAUUAUCAUGGACACCAUCAGCGUGAUUGUCACCAGAAAACCUUUGGAGAAGAAGACCCUGAUGCUAAGCUACCAUCUGUCUGUAGCAAAUAAUACUCAUUUAAUCCCUGAACGGAAACAGACCCAUAAUUCAUCUGUAAAAAGCAUAAACACCAUCUGAUUUGUGUUUUUGCCAUUAUUCUCUCAUAUCUCUCUAUGAACAUCUGUAUUUCCACUUAGUGCUACAUACAACAUAAACAGUCUUUUAGAUAAGAACGCUUAAUGCUUUCUGCACUUUCUUUGGCAGAGUGAACUGCACUUUCAAAACCUAUGAAAAAUUAAACAUUUAAGCAUCGAAAAAAGA
Long non-coding RNA from Acanthochromis polyacanthus (spiny chromis), 919 nucleotides. RefSeq lists it as uncharacterized. The record is from RefSeq and is a predicted model, not a curated record. The transcript is spliced from 7 exons. Lineage: Eukaryota; Metazoa; Chordata; Actinopteri; Pomacentridae.